UGGGCAAUCUGCCCUUCUCAUCGGAAUAAGCGUUGGAAACGACGUCUAAUGCCGAAUACGACCUCCUUUCGCAUGAUCGGAGGUGGAAAGCUCCGGCGGAGAAGGAUGAGCUCGCGGUCUAUCAGCUAGUUGGUGUGGGUAAUGGCCCAUCAAGGCGACGACGGGUAGCCGGCCUGAGAGGGUGACCGGCC
Molecule: ribosomal RNA, 191 nt
Filed under: uncultured bacterium
Lineage: Bacteria
Description: partial 16S ribosomal RNA
Rfam family: Bacterial small subunit ribosomal RNA
Source: RNAcentral